Molecule: RNA transcript, 716 nt
Organism: Sapajus apella (tufted capuchin)
Lineage: Eukaryota; Metazoa; Chordata; Mammalia; Primates; Cebidae
Gene name: 60S ribosomal protein L15 pseudogene
Exons: 2
Source: RefSeq, a predicted model, not a curated record
CAAGGUCUGGCGGCAGCCAUCAGGUAAGCCAAGAUGGGUGCAUAUAAGUACAUCCAGGAGCCAUGGAGAAAGAAGCAGUCUGAUGUCAUGCGCUUUCUUCUGAGGGUCCGCUGCUGGCAGUACCGCCAGCUCUGUGCUCUCCACAGGGCUCCCCUCGCACUCGGCCUGAUAAAGUGCGCCAACUGGACUACACGGCCAAGCAAGGUUGCAUUAUAUACAGGAUUCGUGUUCACCGUGGUGGCCGAAAACGCCCAGUUCCCAAGGGUGCAAUUUUACGGCAAGCCUGUCCAUCAUGGUGUUAACCAGCUGAAGUUUGCUCGAAGCCUUCAGUCUGUUGCAGAGGAGCGAGCUGGACGCCACUGUGGGGCUCUAAGAGUCCUGAAUUCUUACUGGGUUGGCCAAGAUUCCACAUACAAAUUUUUUGGGGUUAUCCUCAUUGAUCCAUUCCACAAAGCUAUCAGAAGAAAUCCUGACACCCAAUGGAUCACCAAACCAGUCCACAAGUACAGGGAGAUGCGUGGGCUGACAUCUGCAGGCCCAAAGAGCCGUGGCCUUGGAAAGGGCCGUAAGUUCCACCACUCUAUUGGUGGUUCUCGCCGGGCAGCUUGGAGAAGGCGCAAUACUCUCCAGCUCCACCGUUACCUCUAAUAUAAGUAAAGUUUGCAAAAUUCAUACCUAAUAAACAAUUUAGGACAGUCAAAAAAAAAAAAAAAAAA